AUUGAACGCUGGCGGCAGGCCUAACACAUGCAAGUCGAGCGGAGCGGCGGACGGGGGAGUAAUGCCUAGGAAUCUGCCAGGUAGUGGGGGAAAAGGUCAGGAACCGGGAGACAAUACCGCAUACUAUCAGAUGAGGCUAGGUCGGCUUGGGUAGGUGGUGGGGUAAAGGCCUACCAAGGCGACGAUCCGUAACUGGACUGAGAGGAGGAUCAGUCACACUGGAAAUGGAACACGGUCCCGACUCCUACGGGAGGCAGCAGUUGGGAAUAUUUGGCAAAUGGCGGAAACCUGAUCCAGCCAUGCCGCGUGUGUGAAGAAGGUCUUCGGAUUGUAAAACACUUUUAGUUGGGAAGCGGUACCAUAAGAAUAAGCACACGCUUACUUCGUGCCAGCAGCCGCGGUAAUAC
Molecule: ribosomal RNA, 407 nt
Filed under: uncultured bacterium
Lineage: Bacteria
Description: partial 16S ribosomal RNA
Rfam family: Bacterial small subunit ribosomal RNA
Source: RNAcentral